UACGAAGGGGGCUAGCGUUGCUCGGAAUCACUGGGCGUAAAGCGCACGUAGGCGGAUUGUUAAGUCAGGGGUGAAAUCCUGGAGCUCAACUCCAGAACUGCCUUCGAUACUGGGUAUCUUGAGUACGGGAGAGGUGUGUGGAACUCCGAGUGUAGAGGUGAAAUUCGUAGAUAUUCGGAAGAACACCAGUGGCGAAGGCGACACACUGGCCCGUUACUGACGCUGAGGCGCGAAAGCGUGGGGAGCAAACAGGG
RNAcentral lists this ribosomal RNA (254 nucleotides) under uncultured bacterium. Its description in RNAcentral is "partial 16S ribosomal RNA". It matches the Rfam family "Bacterial small subunit ribosomal RNA", at positions 524 to 777 of the family's 1533-position model. The record is from RNAcentral.